This 253-nucleotide ribosomal RNA is filed under the name uncultured bacterium. RNAcentral describes it as "partial 16S ribosomal RNA". It matches the Rfam family "Bacterial small subunit ribosomal RNA", at positions 524 to 776 of the family's 1533-position model. The record is from RNAcentral.
UACGUAGGGGGCAAGCGUUGUCCGGAAUUACUGGGCGUAAAGGGCGCGUAGGCGGUGUGUCAAGUCAGGCGUGAAAGCCCCGGGCUCAACCUGGGAACCGCGCUUGAGACUGGCACGCUCGAGUUCGGGAGAGGAUGGUGGAAUUCCCAGUGUAGAGGUGAAAUUCGUAGAUAUUGGGAAGAACACCGAUGGCGAAGGCAGCCAUCUGGACCGACACUGACGCUGAGGCGCGAAAGCGUGGGGAGCAAACAGG